UAAAGAUGCACUGGAUAUAGUUGGGGAGAGCCUCGUGCUCUCCGAUGUGCGAUUUGUUAGUCUGGUUGUUUAAUAAGAAACAAAAAUUGUGUGUUUUAUUCUAUAACAGUUUUAAUAACAGUAUGUAUUUUGGGCUGGUAUUUUUUUUAAUGGGCGGGUUUUAAACUGUAGUUGGGCUGGAAAUCUUUAGUCCAAUCUGGCAACACUGACUGGACCGCGCUCACUCACUCGCUGGAUGGGAGCACAGCAGGAUUAACGUUAUUCGCGAGACACGACGCGGUCAUGGUAAAAAAUACAGGUACGUUAACGUUAAGCAUUUCGAGCUUCUUUAAUCUCAUUUAAAGCACUCUAAAGUCAACUUCAUCUAAAAAUUAACAAGCUUAAUUAUCAAAAUGUGUGCAACUCUAGCUAAGGUUAGCACAGGAGCGAGGUGAUAACGCACCAUUAAGUUAUAUCAAAGUUAUCAACGGUGUUAAGUGUUAAAUAUGCAGUGUCAUACACAACAGUUCGUCAUUGGUAAAUUAAGAAGUAUUUUUGUGGUUUAUCACAUUAAGACAGCGUAAGACGAGUCCCGCAAAGUGUAACGUUAUUUUCAAACUAAUGUUACCGUUAGAGAGACGCUGGUCUCUAACCGUCACUCCCUACACAGAUCUGAAGCGAGGUAAAGCGAACACACAUUCACUGGAUUAAAACACUUUAACCUUUGUGUUCAGUAUUACUGGAUAUCUGUAGGUUUCAUCUAGAAUGUCCCAUCUGAUCCUGAUCAAGUUUAUUAAAUCCGCCGAAUGUUAAACAAAGGGGCUGAAGAGCGUUUAUAAAGGCUGUUUAACCUUAGUUAACAUUUAAGUUAUUUGCUCCUCACGUUGUCUUAUUUAAAAUUCAUACUAACAAAUUGCUGUCAUACUUUGAAAUCAAUGUUUUUAGUGCAAAGGCAGAGAGUGAAGGUGUGGUGGUAUUGGCAGCAAGAAGGCUGCAAUAAUAUGGGCCUGAAAUGAAGUACUGGUAAGUACUAUUCACAUUAAACAAAUUGAUGGGCUUUAGUGUUGUACCAGAUGUAAUUUGUCACGUUAAAAACAGUUACUUAAAUACAUCGUACUUUUGUUUUUAUUUUUUGAUGAUUUGCUAUUAAUGCAGAUGUAAUGGUGACCAGAAAUGACCAGCAGCACAAAUGUUAAGUCUUCUGAAGCAAUUCUAUACUUUUGUUUUAUAAGUUCUAUAUUUCUAAUCCAAUUGAAUAUUAGAUUAAUCAAAUCAUUAAUACACAGAUGAAAAAUAACAAACCUCAACUAAAGUCCAACAACAAUGACAACAUGACAUCUAAGAACCAGUCAUGUUUGAUUCAGAUUAGGGCUUGGCGAUAUGUGAAAAAAUCUUGAUAUUGGCAAAUUUUUUAUGAUAUUCAAUAUAUAUCUUUAUAUAUUUUAUAUAAUAUAUAUAGAUAAUAUAAAUUUAAUUCCUAUAAGUAAUUCCACAUUGCCAUGUUUUAACACAUGAUUAUAAAAAUAAGCUGUCCAUAAAUGUUACUUAAUUGUGAGUUAAAUUUCUCUAAUUUUGUGUUUUGUCUUCAGGAACAUUAUCAGUCAUUCAAGCUAUGAUAUCCUGGCAGAUCUACUUCCUGAAAAGAAGACUCAGCAGAUCUUUUCAAGACACACUAGAUGGAGCGCGGAGAGACCGGACAGUUCCCACAGUGCUAGUUUUUCAGCCACACCCCAAACACAAAUUCAUAUAGAAGUUUUCAAUAAUAAAAAGUUCAUAUGAUAGUUUAUAUUUAGCUAUGAAGCAAUAGUUUAUUGUCAUAAAUAUUAAACUAAAUAUUAAAGUCCUUCUGUAGUGAAAAUCAAGUUUUUAUGCUGUUUUUUUUUUUUUGUCUUUGUGGCAUUAAAUAUUGCUACAUCACAAUCCAAUUACCAAUCACAUCUAAGAAUAAUUUCCUAUAGCAUGCCAAUACCAGCGCACAAGCACAAAGACAAAUUAUAGCAAAAAAAUUAGAUUAAAUAUUUGACUACAGGGGACUUUCAUUUUUUUUUACAAGAUAUUAAAUUUUCACCAGUCUGUUCAAUGUGUUGAAAGUGAUUAUCUUUAAUAAUUCAGAUACCUGUUGAAAUGCACAUGUAAUUGAAUGCUUGCUUGGAUCUGGAAUGUUGUGUUAAUAAAUGUUAUGCUGAAAGAGAAUGUUGCAACAGUGCUAACCUGAAAAUAAAAUUUUAUUAAGCUA
Molecule: long non-coding RNA, 2215 nt
Organism: Carassius gibelio (silver crucian carp)
Lineage: Eukaryota; Metazoa; Chordata; Actinopteri; Cypriniformes; Cyprinidae
Exons: 2
Source: RefSeq, a predicted model, not a curated record